GGUAGGAGAGCGUAGCAGUCAGCAUCGAAGCGGUACGGUAACGAGCCGUGGAGCGGCUGCUAGUGAUUAUGCCGGCAUGAGUAACGAUAAAACAGGUGAGAAUCCUGUUCGCCGAAAGCCUAAGGUUUCCUGGGGAAGGGACAUCCGCCCAGGGUUAGUCGGCCCCUUAGUUGAGGCUGAAAGGCGUAGACGAUGGGCAGCAGGUUAAUAUUCCUGCACCAUGUCACCGGACGAAGGUCGUGACGCAUCUUCCAAGAGUAUCCCGUGAGUAGUCGUGCGGGUCCCGCAAGGGCGAGGUCAAAUUAGGAUACCGAAGUACUUGGCGAGGAUGCCGAGAAACAGCGGCUGUAGGUUGAAGGUGGCGUGACCGUACUAAAACUGACACAGGUAGGCGAGGAGAAUAUCCUCAGGCGCUCGAGAGAACGGUCCUUAAGGAACUAGGCAAAUUGACCCCGUAAGUUCGCGAUAAGGGGACCCUCCAGACACGUUUAAUUCAUUAGAUGUGGGCUGAGGGCACAGAAAAGUGGCUCUAGCGACUGUUUAUCAAAAACACAGUUCUCUGCUAACUCGCAAAGAGGAUGUAUAGAGAAUGACGCCUGCUCGGUGCCGGAAGGUUAAGUGGAAGGGUUAGCUCCUUCGGGGGCGAAGCUCCUAAAUGAAGCCCCGGUAAACGGCGGCCGUAACUAUGACGGUCCUAAGGUAGCGAAGUUCCUUGUCGGGUAAGUUCCGACGUGCAUGAACGGCGUAACGACUGGAGCACUGUCUCAAGGACGGACUCGGUGAAAUUGUAGUUGUGGUGAAGAUACCACAUACCCGCGGCAAGACGGAAAGACCCCGUGAACCUUUACUGUAUCCUGGUAUUGAUGCCUGGCAUGGCUUGCGUAGGAUAGGUGGGAGGCGUUGAAGUUCGGAUCUCGGUCCGGACGGAGCCAACCUUGAAAUACCACCCUUGGCAUGUUAGUCACCUAACCGUGACCCGUGAAUCCGGGCAUGGGACAGUGCUAGGUGGGCAGUUUGACUGGGGCGGUCUCCUCCAAAAAGGUAACGGAGGAGUUCAAAGGUACACUCAGCGUGGUUGGCAAUCACGUUUAGAGCGCAAGGGUACAAGUGUGCUUAACUGCGAGACCGAUUGGUCGAGCAGGUGCGAAAGCAGGACCUAGUGAUCCGGCGAUCCCGUGUGGAAGGGUCGUCGCUCAACAGAUAAAAGGUACUCCGGGGAUAACAGGCUGAUCUCCACCGAGCGUUCAUAGCGGCGUGGAGGUUUGGCACAUCGAUGUCGGCUCAUCACAUCCUGGGGCUGAAGGCGGUCCCAAGGGUU
This 1318-nucleotide ribosomal RNA is filed under the name bioreactor metagenome. RNAcentral describes it as "bacterial LSU rRNA". It matches the Rfam family "Bacterial large subunit ribosomal RNA", at positions 1227 to 2573 of the family's 2925-position model. The record is from RNAcentral.